This 413-nucleotide ribosomal RNA is filed under the name uncultured prokaryote. Its description in RNAcentral is "bacterial SSU rRNA". It matches the Rfam family "Bacterial small subunit ribosomal RNA", at positions 505 to 918 of the family's 1533-position model. The record is from RNAcentral.
GUGUCAGCAGCCGCGGUACUACGAAAGGGGCUAGCGUUGUUCGGAAUUACUGGGCGUAAAGCGCGCGUAGGCGGCCUUGCAAGUUGGGGGUGAAAUCCCGGAGCUCAACUCCGGAACUGCCUUCAAAACUGCAAAGCUAGAGGAUGCGAGAGGUGAGCGGAAUUCCGAGUGUAGAGGUGAAAUUCGUAGAUAUUCGGAAGAACACCAGUGGCGAAGGCGGCUCACUGGCGCAUUUCUGACGCUGAGGCGCGAAAGCGUGGGGAGCAAACAGGAUUAGAUACCCUGGUAGUCCACACCGUAAACGAUGAAUGCCAGUCGUCGGCGCGCAUGCGUGUCGGUGACACACCUAACGGAUUAAGCAUUCCGCCUGGGGAGUACGGUCGCAAGAUUAAAACUCAAAUGAAUUGACGGGG